This 963-nucleotide ribosomal RNA is filed under the name Triticum aestivum (bread wheat). RNAcentral's name for it is "partial small subunit ribosomal RNA". Lineage: Eukaryota; Viridiplantae; Streptophyta; Magnoliopsida; Poales; Poaceae. The record is from RNAcentral.
AUGGCCAAAGCCUUCGACUCGGUGGAUUGGGCUUUCCUCCUUAAGGUUCUGCGCCAUCGUGGAUUUGGGCCCAAGUGGCUAGCUAAGCUGGCUAUACUUCUGUCUACCUCCAGCUCGAGAAUUCUGAUUAAUGGGGCAGCAGGCGAUAAGUUCUGGCACGCCAAAGGGCUACGACAGGGCGACCCCCUCUCGCCUCUGAUGUUUGUUCUCGUGAUGGAUGUGCUUACGGCGGUCAUCAAGCGGGGCGACCAGGAAGGAUUAUUUGGUUCAUUUGAGCGAUGGGGAAUCCGGAACCGAUUAUCUAUUUAUGCGGAUGACGUGGUCAUGCUUAUUAGACCACUUGCGAGUGAAGCCGAGGCAGUGGUGGGUUUGUUCAGAGCCUUCGGUGCUGCCACUGGUCUCCACUGUAAUCUGGCAAAGAGUUCUGCAACCAUGAUUCGUGGCGAGGAUGCCAAAAUUCAGGAGGUGCUGCAAAUUCUGGAAUGCCUGGCUGUACAAUUUCCAAUUAGAUACUUGGGGUUGCCGUUGUCACCUAGGCGACUGACCAAGAUGGACCUUCAGCCGUUCGUGGACAGUGCAGUGGGGCAUCUACCAACGUGGAAAGCCUCCAUGCUGAGGCGUGCGGGGCGGCUUGUGUUGAUCAACUCGACGCUCACAGCCACGGCAAUAUACCCAAUGCUGGUGCUUGAUCUGCCGCAAUGGUUCCUGGCAUGUAUCGAUAAGCUAUGUAGGGGAUUUUUCUGGCGCGGGUAUGAGGAAGCCAAGGCUGGCAGCUGCUUGGUGAACUGGAAACUUGUCUACACGCCCAAAGAAUUUGGUGGCCUAGGGGUGAAAAACUUGAAGGUUAUGAAUAAUGCUCUAAUGCUCAAGUGGUCAUGCCUAGAGAAGGUGGGCCAGGACAAACCAUGGGAGGGGCUACGCAUUACAGUUCCAUCGGAGGCUAAAGCUGUGGGGGAGGCAGCA